ACUUAGUUAAAUGUUACCACUAAUUGACAGCAGUGUUGUGCUUCCUGCAGUGAGGAGGAUGGUGGUUGGAGUGCAGGUGGUGGAGGAGGUCGCUUUUGAAGACACAAUCGAAGUGAUAACGGAGGACAUAUACACGGAUGAUCUGCUGGACCCCGAGCUGCUGCAGGACGCCCAGCUCUACCCCACAUGAACCCUGAAGCAAGAUCCUUUUAUUUGUCCUGCAACGGGACAUUUACAUUAUUACAAUAGAGAGUAUAGACUUACAUGUGGUACACGCCUCAGUAUCCACACUUUAUUCGAUAACUCAAUAAGUAAAUGAAGGACAUCAUAAAUACAAAUUGGCUCAUCUUACUCUCCCCAAUGUUUCAAAUGUGUUGACUGUUUUCUUACAACAGUCAAUAUUAGGUUAUCUUAUGUAUGAUUUCAUUUUUAAUAUGGAAAAAUAUAAUGUAAUAUAAUAUGUAAUAAAAUGAUCAAACAAA
Notothenia coriiceps (black rockcod) is the source of this 482-nucleotide long non-coding RNA. RefSeq lists it as uncharacterized. The record is from RefSeq and is a predicted model, not a curated record. The transcript has 2 exons. Lineage: Eukaryota; Metazoa; Chordata; Actinopteri; Perciformes; Nototheniidae.